This 261-nucleotide ribosomal RNA is filed under the name uncultured bacterium. Its description in RNAcentral is "partial 16S ribosomal RNA". It matches the Rfam family "Bacterial small subunit ribosomal RNA", at positions 94 to 353 of the family's 1533-position model. The record is from RNAcentral.
AGUGGCGGACGGGUGAGUAACGCGUGGGUAACCUGCCCUGUACAGGGGGAUAACAGUUAGAAAUGACUGCUAAUACCGCAUAAGACCACAGUACUGCAUGGUACAGUGGUAAAAACUCCGGUGGUAUGAGAUGGACCCGCGUCUGAUUAGGUAGUUGGUGAGGUAACGGCCCACCAAGCCGACGAUCAGUAGCCGACCUGAGAGGGUGAUCGGCCACAUUGGAACUGAGACACGGUCCAAACUCCUACGGGAGGCAGCAUG